CAGUUUAUAUGUUUUGGGGUGGUGUGCAUACCCUACGAAAAUACUUUUAAUUCCUCUAGGAUACAACUUUGUUCUUUGAUGGUCAGGAACUCUAUAAUAGGAUAUAUGCCCAUAUACUUUAAAAUAAUUUAAAUUUAAUUUGUUGCCAUUCCAAAGCUCAUAAGGCGAAAUAUGCAUACUUUUUAAAGGCACCGUGACAAAUGUGCAUUAAGUAGCAUAGCAUUAACCAUAUGAUCUGACCUGCGCCCAAGCCCAAGUCAAAAUCUUUGAUUAUAUAAUAUAUAAAUAUAUGGUGUACUUAAUUAUACAUAUUUAAAAAUAUAUUUCUCAAAUCAAAAAUAUGAAAGGAAUAAGUAUUUAAAAUGCUCUAAAAAAGCCUUCUCUUCCUAUGUGGGAACAAUCCCACUUCCCUAACUCUAAAAUAACAAACUAUAUUUUAGCUACAAUACAAGGGUUUCGUAUCUAUUAACCUUGGCUAAUAAGAAGCUAUAGUUUUGCGUUUUACCCAUCAAAUUGUUGCAAUUUCGGUGGCUAAUAAUCAGUUGGCAUCCACAGAUAACUUCCGAGUAACCUAGGAAGCUCGUGAUGGACAUCCAACCUCUGUUCGUUAUCAUGUCUUGUGAUUGUUGCUCGAACCUGUAAUGAUUUGCUAUUUGAGUCUUUUUCCACAUGUAUUUUAGAUACUUAGGACAUGUUUGUUCAUAAAUAAAAAUUGUAUUUGUUUAUGAAAUUUUAUAAGUUUUUUAAGUCACUCAAAAACCUGCAAUAUAUGUCCAAACACAAUUUCAAAUAUCAAACAUUAUCUUCAAGUACUAUUUUUUUCCAAAAAUUAUAAAUUUUAUGUCCAAGCGCCUACUUAAAUUCCUAUUUGUCUCUCUUUUGACAAAAAUGAAGGACAUAAACAAAAUCACUGGGAAAACGAACACAGAGAGACAGAGGGCAGAUACAUGAAACGAAAUUUCGUAAUGCACAUGGCUUGAGGAUCAUCUAUUUUAAGGCCAUUGGGUGUAAUUUUCUGUCCCUUUUUUGGUUUAACCUUGAUCAUGUUCGAGUACAUAUACAGGUUAGGAUACUAGCAUGCUCUGAUUUUAAUAUUUUCAUAAAGAUGACCUUUAAUUACCAUAACUAAUACAAUUAAUGUGUUACUCAUGCUCCAAUGACCAAAAAUGUGUUACUAAGAUUUCACAUCGUACCCUUUCGAUUUUCUGACUGAGAUUCACAUGGUAACCAUUGGAUUUAGUGAAUAUUUACGUUUAAGGACCAUAGGAUUAUCGUUUCCUAAUCCUAUCAUCUAGUUGGUGUCGCACCAUCUAUAUCUAUAUCAAUAUCAUUAUGUAAGGACCACGGACCACCAUUUACUUGACCAUUUUUCCUUAUGCAGGCUGGCCUAAUACAACUUAAAAGGUCCUACAUGGUCAAGCUAGCUGGCCAGUAACAGACCAAUUUUUGUACACUAUACUGUCAACUUUCAAAUGUUUUUCCCCUCAAUUUUAACAUCAAAUACGCUUUUAUUGAUUCCAACGGGAUUACUCUAGGCUCAAAUUGCUAUAACAUCAAUUCCUUUAUGACUUUAGAAAUGAUCUAUUUCAACAAAUUGAAUAUUAUUGGGCUUAUUUAACAGAGCUGUUCUUAAAAUAAAAGAAAAUGUACGGCCAAACGGAUGCUUCUUUAUUUGUUUUUUCCAUUAUAUUUUAUGUGGUGAAGAACGAAGUAUAAGAAAGUGCCUAAUUUUUUAUAUGAACUCAAGCAUAAAUUCUUUAAACUUUUGAAAUAAAUUUUGCAUAUUCAAAAAUUACAUAAAAUACCUUAUGUCAUAACAGUUACAAAUAAUUUGAAAUAUUUUAGACAUGUUUGAAAAUAUAGUAAUCAAAGAUAAAUUUAUUUGACUACUUAAAUAUUAGUUUUAUCAAAUAAAAAGGGACGAGAUUAGUAGCUCUUUACCUUUUCCUUUUAGUUGGGGUUGAAGAAGAAAAGCUAUCCUCUGACUUGCCCGCAUUGAAGUAUAUAUACACAUGCACAUAAAUCAAUAAAUUACUCCUACAUAUAACAUUCUUAUUUCUUUUUCGUCUCGAAAAUUUUAUGAUUAGUUCCCAAUAUAGCUUGAUGAAAUUUUCUAGCUAUCUAAGUUUAUAAAAUGCUGUUAUCUUUACAAAUGAGUUAACCAAAA
This 2167-nucleotide long non-coding RNA is filed under the name Nicotiana benthamiana. Its description in RNAcentral is "long non-coding RNA (NBEN_LNC015662)". The record is from RNAcentral. Lineage: Eukaryota; Viridiplantae; Streptophyta; Magnoliopsida; Solanales; Solanaceae.